UGGGGAAUUUUGGACAAUGGGCGAAAGCCUGAUCCAGCAAUGCCGCGUGUGUGAAGAAGGCCUUCGGGUUGUAAAGCACUUUUGUCCGGAAAGAAAUCCUUGGCUCUAAUACAGUCGGGGGAUGACGGUACCGGAAGAAUAAGCACCGGCUAACUACGUGCCAGCAGCCGCGGUAAUACGUAGGGUGCAAGCGUUAAUCGGAAUUACUGGGCGUAAAGCGUGCGCAGGCGGUUUGCUAAGACCGAUGUGAAAUCCCCGGGCUCAACCUGGGAACUGCAUUGGUGACUGGCAGGCUAGAGUAUGGCAGAGGGGGGUAGAAUUCCACGUGUAGCAGUGAAAUGCGUAGAGAUGUGGAGGAAUACCGACGGC
This 369-nucleotide ribosomal RNA is filed under the name uncultured bacterium. RNAcentral describes it as "partial 16S ribosomal RNA". It matches the Rfam family "Bacterial small subunit ribosomal RNA", at positions 355 to 716 of the family's 1533-position model. The record is from RNAcentral.